Long non-coding RNA from Taeniopygia guttata (zebra finch), 2040 nucleotides. NCBI's taxonomy places the organism in Eukaryota, Metazoa, Chordata, Aves, Passeriformes, Estrildidae. The record is from Ensembl.
GGGAGUGCAAGAGCACGUCCAGCAGGUCCCCCCGGACAUUUACAGCCCUGAUUUUGCCAAUGGAAAGUUAAUCAUUGGUUUGAAACUGUGCAAAAACGUUAAGGGAAAAAAAAUCACAAGAUCACAGGAAGAACUCUAAUGUGUUUCCUAGUAUGUCCCUUUCAUUUGCCUCCACAGACUGCAGUGCUAAAUACCUUGGGGAGAAAUGUGUCUGAGCAUUUCAACACCUGACAAAUAUUAACUACCUCAGAGCAUGCUCAGACAAGCGGGUUUAGGGGAUGCUGAGGUCUGUGGAAAUAGUCACUUUCAAAUUCUGCACUUCAUUUCAGUAUUUUUCUGAAUGACCACCACAGGACAAAGUAAAGUUACAAAAGCGCUCACAAUAUUUAAAGAUCCUUCAGUGCUUAACAAAUAUUACUUCAUUAAGCUUUUUGAUACCUUUCCAAGGUAAUUAUGGCAUUGUUAUCUCUUCCUGCUUUUAGAAAUAGAGAAAUUAGGUAUUCUCAGAGAGUAAUGCAGAGUGAAACUCUGUAAAACUGGCUAAUGAUGUCCUGAUAGCUCUUUGCAGAUCCUCUCACUGCUACCCAGCACUCCUGACCUGUGUUGCAGAAAAACCCAUCUGUGUCCUCUAGCUAAGGAAGGUAAAGACCCUACUAGAUGAGCCCUUUCUUUGUAAAAAGGGGUUGUAGGGAAGAGGGAGGAAGUCUGUGUUCAAUAAUGCUGAACAAUAUUCUUUCUGAAAUCUACUUUUCCUGCUUAGAAGUGGUAUUGAUUUGACUGCCCAUGGGAAGCAAACAAUAACAUGAACAGCAACCCAUGUGUGAGGAAGUUGAACAGACUUGAACCACUUGAACAAGUUGAGGGGGAGAAAACUACGGAAAGAAGAAAGUGCACCCAAGACAGGGUAUUGCACACCUGGAUCUGCAGGUCGGCAGACAUCCUGGGCUCUGGGUGGGGCUGCUCCUGCCCACAGGAGUUUUGUAGUCAUGUCCCUACCCACAGCUCCCCUCGGUACACGUCCAGUGAGAUGUUUGUCAGGAAAAUAGCACAGCUGUGGUGGCCUUGACAGCUGUGCCUCCCUCAAGCAACCACUUUUCUCGUGUAUGGUGGAAGAAUGGCUUCGGCACGUUUGCAUUUUAGCUCGCUUGCUUUACUGAUUUAGUAUAAAUUACCAUGAUUUCUAGCAAACCUGGAUGCUUAUAAAAUUAAUGAGGCAAGAGAAGAGCACUAUAGGUAAAUGCCAGGGAGCAACCUGUACUUCUGUCUUUUAUGGUUGUAUUUUUCACUGUAUUCUGAAAGCUCCCAUUGAGGUACAAACUUCGCCAUGCUGUAAAAAUUUUAAGACCCUAAUAAAAAUAAGAUUGAAUACAAUAGCCAAGAACUAGACACUUAAACAACACUUAAAUACACUGAAACCAGGCACCAACUCACAAAAGGGUAAUUAUCCUCCCUGUACUGCUGUGCUCCUUUCUCUCUGGUGAGUCACACAAGGUGGCAUGAGAGCAAUCAUCUUACUCUCUGGCUGGAUUUCAUGGCAGCCCUCCUAGACAGAAGGGGGGUAUUGAUUGAUUGUUGCAAAGAAACUAUUAAUGCAAAGCUUGUCCCUGAGAAGGUUUUAUUUGCUGCUGAGCAUCAUCCACUGUCACUGCUCUAGUUGAUGGUGACUGUCCCAGGGCAUGGUGAAGUGGUGGGGGGUGGGCACACAGGCCACUGCUGUGUCCUGAGCCAGUGAAAGUGGAGCCAGCUGCAAUUCAGAAUCUGCAUUAACUUGGGUCCCAGCCCCAUGCAGUACCUGGUUUGCUGGCCAGCUGGUUUUCAGUACCACAGCCAGCUUCCUUAGGUGGUCAGAGGGUUUGUGCCUUAGUGCCCCACAACAGCUGCUCCUGGAGAACUUCAGUGUCUUCAUGUGACACCUCAUUCCUGUUGUUCAGGCACUGGUGAAGGCAGAUGUCUACAGUCCCACCUGCCUGUGCAGAGCACUGGUAAGUACCUGCUGGUUCAUUCCUUUGGGUAGCAGCCCCUCGUGCGAGGGAGCAGGCU